AUUGAACGCUGGCGGCAGGCCUAACACAUGCAAGUCGAGCGGAUGAAGGGAGCUUGCUCCUGGAUUCAGCGGCGGACGGGUGAGUAAUGCCUAGGAAUCUGCCUGGUAGUGGGGGAUAACGUCCGGAAACGGGCGCUAAUACCGCAUACGUCUUGAGGGAGAAAGUGGGGGAUCUUCGGACCUCACGCUAUCAGAUGAGCCUAGGUCGGAUUAGCUAGUUGGUGGGGUAAAGGCCUACCAAGGCGACGAUCCGUAACUGGUCUGAGAGGAUGAUCAGUCACACUGGAACUGAGAAACGGUCAAGACUCCUACGGGAGGCAGCAGUGGGGAAUAUUGGACAAUGGGCGAAAGCCUGAUCCAGACAGGCCGCGUGUGUGAAGAAGGUCUUCGGAUUGUAAAGCACUUUAAGUUGGGAGGAAGGGCAGUAAGUUAAUAACUUGCUGUUUUGACGUUACCAACAGAAUAAGCAACGGCUAACUUCGUG
This 484-nucleotide ribosomal RNA is filed under the name uncultured bacterium. RNAcentral describes it as "partial 16S ribosomal RNA". It matches the Rfam family "Bacterial small subunit ribosomal RNA", at positions 30 to 507 of the family's 1533-position model. The record is from RNAcentral.